CCUACGGGAGGCAGCAGUGAGGAAUAUUUGUCAAUGGACGAGAGUCUGAACCAGCCAAGUAGCGUGAAGGAUGACUGCCCUAUGGGUUGUAAACUUCUUUUAUAUGGGAAUAAAAUGUUCCACGUGUGGGAUUUUGUAUGUACCAUAUGAAUAAGGAUCGGCUAACUCCGUGCCAGCAGCCGCGGUAAUACGGAGGAUCCGAGCGUUAUCCGGAUUUAUUGGGUUUAAAGGGAGCGUAGGUGGAUUGUUAAGUCAGUUGUGAAAGUUGGCGGCUCAACCGUAAAAUUGCAGUUGAAACUGGGAGUCUUGAGUACAGUAGAGGUGGGCGGAAUUCGUGGUGUAGCGGUGAAAUGCUUAGAUAUCGCGAAGAACACCGAUUGCGAAGGCAGCUCACUGGACUGCAACUGACACUGAGGCUCGAAAGUGUGGGUAUCAAAAAGGAUUAGAUACCCCAGUAGUC
This 460-nucleotide ribosomal RNA is filed under the name uncultured bacterium. RNAcentral's name for it is "partial 16S ribosomal RNA". It matches the Rfam family "Bacterial small subunit ribosomal RNA", at positions 338 to 795 of the family's 1533-position model. The record is from RNAcentral.